This 1372-nucleotide ribosomal RNA is filed under the name uncultured bacterium. RNAcentral's name for it is "bacterial SSU rRNA". It matches the Rfam family "Bacterial small subunit ribosomal RNA", at positions 28 to 1381 of the family's 1533-position model. The record is from RNAcentral.
GAUGAACCCUUGCGGCGUGCCUAAUACAUGCAAGUCGAGCGAACAGACAAGGAGCUUGCUCCUUUGACGUUAGCGGCGGACGGGUGAGUAACACGUGGGUAACCUACCUAUAAGACUGGGAUAACUUCGGGAAACCGGAGCUAAUACCGGAUAAUAUUUCGAACCGCAUGGUUCGAUAGUGAAAGAUGGUUUUGCUAUCACUUAUAGAUGGACCCGCGCCGUAUUAGCUAGUUGGUAAGGUAACGGCUUACCAAGGCGACGAUACGUAGCCGACCUGAGAGGGUGAUCGGCCACACUGGAACUGAGACACGGUCCAGACUCCUACGGGAGGCAGCAGUAGGGAAUCUUCCGCAAUGGGCGAAAGCCUGACGGAGCAACGCCGCGUGAGUGAUGAAGGUCUUCGGAUCGUAAAACUCUGUUAUUAGGGAAGAACAUACGUGUAAGUAACUAUGCACGUCUUGACGGUACCUAAUCAGAAAGCCACGGCUAACUACGUGCCAGCAGCCGCGGUAAUACGUAGGUGGCAAGCGUUAUCCGGAAUUAUUGGGCGUAAAGCGCGCGUAGGCGGUUUUUUAAGUCUGAUGUGAAAGCCCACGGCUCAACCGUGGAGGGUCAUUGGAAACUGUAAAACUUGAGUGCAGAAGAGGAAAGUGGAAUUCCAUGUGUAGCGGUGAAAUGCGCAGAGAUAUGGAGGAACACCAGUGGCGAAGGCGACUUUCUGGUCUGUAACUGACGCUGAUGUGCGAAAGCGUGGGGAUCAAACAGGAUUAGAUACCCUGGUAGUCCACGCCGUAAACGAUGAGUGCUAAGUGUUAGGGGGUUUCCGCCCCUUAGUGCUGCAGCUAACGCAUUAAGCACUCCGCCUGGGGAGUACGACCGCAAGGUUGAAACUCAAAGGAAUUGACGGGGACCCGCACAAGCGGUGGAGCAUGUGGUUUAAUUCGAAGCAACGCGAAGAACCUUACCAAAUCUUGACAUCCUUUGACAACUCUAGAGAUAGAGCCUUCCCCUUCGGGGGACAAAGUGACAGGUGGUGCAUGGUUGUCGUCAGCUCGUGUCGUGAGAUGUUGGGUUAAGUCCCGCAACGAGCGCAACCCUUAAGCUUAGUUGCCAUCAUUAAGUUGGGCACUCUAAGUUGACUGCCGGUGACAAACCGGGGGAAGGUGGGGAUGACGUCAAAUCAUCAUGCCCCUUAUGAUUUGGGCUACACACGUGCUACAAUGGACAAUACAAAGGGCAGCGAAACCGCGAGGUCAAGCAAAUCCCAUAAAGUCGUUCUCAGUUCGGAUUGUAGUCUGCAACUCGACUACAUGAAGCUGGAAUCGCUAGUAAUCGUAGAUCAGCAUGCUACGGUGAAUACGUUCCCGGGUCU